Long non-coding RNA from Bos grunniens (domestic yak), 1677 nucleotides. NCBI's taxonomy places the organism in Eukaryota, Metazoa, Chordata, Mammalia, Artiodactyla, Bovidae. The record is from Ensembl.
AUGCUGAGCUCUCCGGAGACUCGCCUGCUUUCUGCUUGUUCUUCCUGCCGUGGCUCCAGCGAUAUGCUGAGCUCUCCGGAGACUCGCCUGCUUUCUGCUUGUUCUUUCUGCCGUGGCUCCAGCGAUCUCCCCUCUGGCACCUCUGCUCAGACCACUGCUCUCUUUUUCCUGUGCUGUUCCUGCUUUGAAAUGGCAAUAAAAUUCCUUCCUUUGACUGAGCUGCUGACCCAGCCACUGACAGGAAUUGAGCUGCACGCCUGUGGCUCUUGCAGCUGACAGACAGCAUGCUGAGAACAAAGGAGCAGGAGGAAAGCAUGAGUCACUGGAGCCUACCCCACGUCACUAAACCUGGGGAAAACCAGAAGAUUGUGCUGCCCCUGGUCUGAGGUUCCCUGGGAGUCAUGAUGAGCCACCAAUAAGAGACUUGACUUGUGACCGUGGUGUAAUUGAAAUAUCUGGUUUUGAUGCGGACAUCCUGACGCCGAAGUCUCCCUCUCUCAUCAGCUGUGUGGCUUCAGGAAGCUAAUUCACUUUUACUGAGUCACAUACCCUUCAUUUGUAAAGUGAGGUCAUCUCCACACGGCUCCCUCACAAAUGGUGGCAAAGAUUCAAUAUGUGAAUGGGUACUGAGUUACUUUAAAGCUGAAGUGCUCUGCACCAAGUAUGGUAUCUGUGUUUCUCUCUUACUUCUACCACCUCCUUCAAAGUCAGGCUUCUCUUGGUCAGAUCAAUUCUUCGUGUGAUUUGGAAGAUGCUAUGCCUUCCUCAUUCCAGCAGCCUUGCAGGGCUCAGCAGGGAAAGAUAUUGACCUGGAGCUUCCUCUGCAGGGCCUUCUUCACCUCCUUGUUGCGGAGGCUCUAGAUGACGGGGGUGAGCAUGGGGGUUAUGAUGGUGCAGCAGACAGACACGACCUGGCCACUGGUGUCAUCGGUGGAUCCAUGAGGCUGGACGUAGGUGAAAUCACGGUGCUGUGGAAGGUGGCAAUGGCCAGGAAGUGGGAGGCACACGUGGAGAGGGCCUUCUCCUUCCCAGCUGCUGAGCGCAUCCUCCCAAUGGCCAGCAAGAUCAGGCCGUAGGAGGUGAGGACGAGGGCAGCAGGUAGAUAGGUAGCCAGGGCAGAGAAGAUAUAGAGGACCACUCCUGCCGUGGCUGUGUUGGCACAGGCCCGGCAGAGAAGGGGUUGGAUGUCACAGAAGUAGUGCAGUACCUGGUUGGGCCCACAGAAAGGCAGGGCAAAGACAUCCCCAGUCUCGAUAGCAGAAUUAGUGCCACCGAAAGCGAGGAAGCAGCCACCAGCUGGAGACAGGUGCCCCGGUCAUGACGGAGCCGUAGUGGAGAGGUGGGCAGGUGGCCGUGCAGCGGUCGCAGGCCAUGGAAGCCAGCAGGAAGCUCUCAGCUGUGGCGUGCAUCACAAAGAAGGUCAUCUGGACCACACAGCCCUUGAAGGGGAUGGACCUGUCAGAGGCCAGAAAGUCGACCAGCAGCCUGGGUGUGACCACAGAGGAGUAGCAGAUAUCAAGGAAAGAGGACGCUGAGAAAGAAUCCACGGGACUGUGGAGGCGGGAGUCCAUGAGGAUGAGCGCCACCAUCCCCAGGUUGCCCACCACGGUCAUGACAUAGAUGAGCAGGAAGCCUCCAGAGAGAAGCUUCUGGAGGUCUGGGUCACUAGAGAAUCCC